UUCUGCUGGAGGGGUGCUGCUGCAGCAAGAGAUGGAGAGGAAAGAAAACUCUUUAUCUUGAGGAUUUGGCACAUGCUGUCAGGAGCCCACCACUUAGACCACGUUUCAGAGCCAAGACAUGAAAGAAAUGGAUUCUUGGGCUACACAGUCAGCCAGCCUUGAAACAGGAAUGAAACAAUAACCAAAACUCUUGGGACCUGCCUGACUGGGCUCCAUCAGUGAACCCAAGCAAAGCUGAUGCAAGUCCCACCAUGCAGGAAUCUGAGCCUUCCAGGAGUGUGGUUGCUGCUUUCCAGGCUGAGAAGAUUCUCCAGUUACCUGCAUUUUCAGAAACUUCCAGACUGAGGAACACUCCAGUGGUAACAAAGGAGUGACAGCAUGGGCUGCUCAUUGCUCCUGGCUGCAUCUUCAUCCCUACCCUGGUGCCAGAGGGG
Sturnus vulgaris (Common starling) is the source of this 434-nucleotide long non-coding RNA. RefSeq lists it as uncharacterized. The record is from RefSeq and is a predicted model, not a curated record. Lineage: Eukaryota; Metazoa; Chordata; Aves; Passeriformes; Sturnidae.